CGUAGAACUGUGUACCACAUUCAUCUUUACAGUGUAUUCAUCAUGGCUUUGUCAAUGAGUCACAACUGCAAUUACAACUGUGUUAAGGAAAGAAGUUUUGAACAGAUUUGAGAUGAGAUUGGAUUGUUACAGGAGCUGCUAAAUAUAUAUUGCGACCUUGUUUAGAAGGAUUUCUAAACACAAAUUCAGCUGUCCUUAAAGUUUCCAAGAGAGACUGUGGUGUUCCUGAUGUGAUUGCUGGGCUACUCACUUGUGACAUCUGUAAGAAUCAAACACAACUCUACGUCUCAGUUCAAGGGGAAUCUUGGACUGUCAAGAAUGGGAGACGCUUUUUGUGCCUAUUUAC
Myxocyprinus asiaticus (Chinese sucker) is the source of this 346-nucleotide long non-coding RNA. RefSeq lists it as uncharacterized. The record is from RefSeq and is a predicted model, not a curated record. Lineage: Eukaryota; Metazoa; Chordata; Actinopteri; Cypriniformes; Catostomidae. The transcript has 3 exons.